GAUGCAGCUAUUUCUGCUGAAGGCUGUGGAAGCUGCUUGGUAUACAAUGGCAAGUCCCUGACAGCCUGACAUGCCUUUGAAAGACUGGCUACUUUGCGCUUUCCUUUGGCAUUCAAGGAAACAGGAAUACCCCCAAAUUGGGCUGGGGUGAAUACGGUACAAUUUGGUAUAAAAUAACUCUCUCCAGUGGAGCCUACUGAAUUUUACUUGGAUCUGUGACAGCAUUGUGCUGCCUUGACACUACCAGGCUCUAGAUUUCCUUGCAAGCUGUGCUUCUCUGGGGUAGGACCAGGGCAACCCAUCUUUUGAGAGGCAGCUUGGAAGAGGAACUUGCUGCAGAACUUGAAGCCUCCAGUGCCACCGUUCUCAGGGCCUUCGACCUCCGCCCUUAGUGUCUGUGUCCCAGGCACGCCCAGAGUCGAUUCUGAAACUGCUGGGGAACUCCAGCCCAAGAGGCUGAAAGGACCCCACCUGGGGACUGCAUUAGGGAAGGAGAGCAAGUGGUUUGGUUCUGAUAGAAGAAGGACUUACAAGGAAGUCAGUAAGCUGUGGUAGUUAAGAAGGGAAAGCACACGGAGAAGCCAUCCUAAGACCUUCUCUGCCGGAGCUCCAAGAACCCCGGCCAUCAGCUUGACUAGCCACGCAGAGGGACCCCACAGAUUUGCUCUGUAGAGCUUUCUCUGAGCUGGUGACACAGAGAAGCAUUCUAGGGUGGGGCUUACAGUGGGGUCAGGCUCCUCUGAACCCCCCUCAGUGCAGUGGGAACCAUAAUACUCCAUGGAAAAGGGAGAAGGUAAGAGCCGGGCAAGGAUUUGUACUGAGUCCUUGUUUUUUGUAUUUUCCCUUCGUUUUAAAGUGUGUUCCAUCUAGUAAGGCUGGAGGGCAGGCCCAAGAGAAAGUCAACAAUGGACAAGGAGCCCCUUUCGUGUAGUGACGUUUGCAACAGAGACCUGGAUGUGGAGUCUAAGAUCUGAACUUGAUGCCUCAAACAAUCCUUUCCUCUUGUGUGGUCAUCAUUAAACCACUUAACCCUAUUAGUGCCUCAAUUGCC
RNAcentral lists this long non-coding RNA (1051 nucleotides) under Cricetulus griseus (Chinese hamster). Its description in RNAcentral is "lncRNA (ENSCGRG00015037136.1)". Lineage: Eukaryota; Metazoa; Chordata; Mammalia; Rodentia; Cricetidae. The record is from RNAcentral.